GGGUGAGUCUGUACACGAGGCAAUCAGGGUGAGUCUACACGAGGCAAUCAGGGUGAGUCUGUACACGAGGGCGGUCGGGUGAGUCUGUACACGAGGCGCGUCGGGGUGAGUCUGUACACGAGGCAAUCAGGGUGAGUCUGUACACGAGGCAAUCAGGGUGAGUCUGUACACGAGGCGCGGUCGGGGUGAGUCUGUACACGAGGCAAUCGGGGUGAGUCUGUACACGAGGCGCGGUCGGGGUGAGUCUGCACACGAGGCGCAAUCGGGGUGAGUCUGCACACGAGGCGCGGUCGGGGUGAGUCUGCACACGAGGCGCAAUCGGGGUGAGUCUGCACACGAGGCGCGGGGGACGGGCGGUCGGGGUGAGUCUGCACACGAGGCGCGGUCGGGGUGAGUCUGCACACGAGGCGCGGUCGGGGUGAGUCUGCACACGAGACGAGGCGCUCGGAGACAGAGCAGUGCUGCGUUUGGACUUUACUUACAACUUGACUUUCAAUCUGUCAAAGCUAAAA
Molecule: long non-coding RNA, 512 nt
Filed under: Neogobius melanostomus (round goby)
Lineage: Eukaryota; Metazoa; Chordata; Actinopteri; Gobiiformes; Gobiidae
Description: lncRNA (ENSNMLG00000021294.1)
Source: RNAcentral